UCUAUAGAUUCUCUUCAAAGGUGUCUCCCGAGUGGUAUUUUAGUGGGGCAAGAUGAAAAAAGCAAGAGUUAUUUUAUUUAUUUAUUUAUAUGUAAGAGUAAUAGUUAUAAAUAACCAAUACAACCAACCAAUGCAACCAAUCAAAAAUUUAAUAAGAACGUUGGCUACUAAGGCCUUCAGCUCGAGAUUCAUAUUUUGAGAAAUGUCGGAUGAGAGUAACAAUAAACCAAGAGUUAUUUCGCCAAAAAUCUGGACCUCCUUUCGCGAAUAUCUUCACGCAAAAGAUGUAUAACACAUAAAUAUAUAUUGAAGAAAAUAUACACCAAAAAAUAAAAGAUAAAAAAAAUUGCAAAUCUAUAUAAUCGAGUAGAUUAAAUUGGAAAGUCACUUUUUAAUUUUAUCGAACAUGUAUUUUGUGGGUACUAAUACUCCAGUAGAACCAUAACAGAUAUCUCUCUUAGAUGAAAGACGACUUGUUUUGACAUGAGCUUUGACCAAUAUUUCACAGUCAUCCCCCUUAUUGUGGAACAGAAAAGAAAUAAAAGGUGUAACUAACCGACAAGCCAACGUGUUGUUGGAGGAAUUAUCAAAGGCUAUAAAAACGAAGAUAGCGGCUUUUGAGAAACUCCCUAUGCAGAUGUUUGCAGAUAUAGUCUGCUGAAUAUUUGUUUACGAGCAAGAGCGACGGUGGAAUUAUAACAUAUUUGAAAAAAAAAUUUCAGAAAAUAACCGAUUUCAACAUAUAUACGUGACAUUUUUAGGUGUAAACAAACAUAACCCUACAAAAAAG
Molecule: long non-coding RNA, 790 nt
Organism: Anastrepha ludens (Mexican fruit fly)
Lineage: Eukaryota; Metazoa; Arthropoda; Insecta; Diptera; Tephritidae
Exons: 3
Source: RefSeq, a predicted model, not a curated record